GAGGGUGUGGCUUAGUUGGUAAAGUUCCUGGCUAGCAUGCAGGAAGCCCUGGUCCACCUUCA
This 62-nucleotide transfer RNA is filed under the name Mesocricetus auratus (golden hamster). It matches the Rfam family "tRNA". Rfam says of the family: Transfer RNA (tRNA) molecules are approximately 80 nucleotides in length. Their secondary structure includes four short double-helical elements and three loops (D, anti-codon, and T loops). The record is from Rfam by way of RNAcentral. Lineage: Eukaryota; Metazoa; Chordata; Mammalia; Rodentia; Cricetidae.